This is a long non-coding RNA of Diceros bicornis minor, 2438 nucleotides long. RefSeq lists it as uncharacterized. The transcript is spliced from 4 exons. NCBI's taxonomy places the organism in Eukaryota, Metazoa, Chordata, Mammalia, Perissodactyla, Rhinocerotidae. The record is from RefSeq and is a predicted model, not a curated record.
UCGUUUUCAUGGUAGUUUGUCAGCGGCUAGUUCAUUCAAGUUAUCCCCUCGGUUAUUUAUUACAAACGCGGAAGAAUUAUUUUAGGAAUAUCUAUUAAAGUGUUUUCGUUUUGUUCAAGUGCUACUGGGGAAAAAGAAGGGCCCUACCAACACUGGGAUGAGGAGAGUUUUGAUGGUUUUCAGCAUUAUGAAUCCUUUGUCCUGCCCAUCAGCCUCUUCUCCCUGAUCGUGUGUUGUUGCUGCGCUUCCCACCUUUCUUCAAACUCUACUGUUGACUUUCUCAAAGUUGUUGGGCACAGCCAACUAAGGACACUGGGAUCACUGACAUUUGGGGAUGUGGCUGUGGCCUUUACCCAGAUUGAAUGGAGACACCUGGAUUCCGCUCAGAGGGCCAUGCACAGAGAUGUGAUGCUGGAAAUCUAUGGGAAUCUGGUGUCCGUGGGUAAGGAUGUCUUUGUCUUUGACUCAAAAUUGGUCUACUGGGCAACUGUGCAUUUUCACAGGGUAAGUGAUUUGGGGUAUUUAAAAAUCUUAAAUGGCAGGGUUUUUUUGUUUGUUGUAUUUUUUUUUAGCAUGGGCUUAGACGCUGGAGUUUACGCCCCUUCUACCCCUCAGAAAGGUCAGAGCCUUACAGAGUUUAAGAUGGGAAGCUUUGUGUGCAGUCCAGCCCAGUUCUCUAAAUUUUCCAUGUCAGGAUUCAUCUGCCACCAACAGGAGUUUCUCUUCCUCAAGGAGGUCCAGUUUUCUAACUGACUUUCCCUCCUACAUUUCUAUGACUGCGUGAUAUGGACAUCCUUGAUACCACCGUCUAGGCCUCCCUGACAUACCCAUGCUCCUUAUAGACCCCCAAGUUGAGACUGAGGUCUGGGAUAAUUCCUUGUGCUCAUAACCAUGGUCACAUUCCUUUUCUUUCUCUAUGAACAGGGCUUCUCUCUUCCAAACCCAAACUAAUCACCCAGUUGGAGCAGGGGGCAGAGCUAUGGGGAAGUACAGGAAGUCCCAUCAGGUACUUGUGUAGUCCAGGAGUACUGGUUUGAAACAGAGUUGUCGGCCCUAAAACAAAAUGUUUCUGAUGGAUCUGAUCAGGAGGAGUGAAUAAAAAGUGUCAUGAUGGAAAGAGGCCUGGAUUGGGAGGACAGAAGUUCCACAGAGAAGAUGCACUAUAAAUGUGAGGAAUGUGGGAAAGUCUUCAAAUAUAAUUCCUCCUUUAUUAGCCACCAGAGAAAUCAUACUGGUGAGAAACCCCAUAAAUAUAAAGAAUGUGGGUUAGCUUUUAUGAGCAGCUCAUCCCUUUUAAAUCAUCAUAAAAUUCACCUAGGCAAGCAACUUUAUAGCUGUAUUGAAUGUGGGAAAUUCCUCAAGAAGCAUUCAAAGUUUGUUAAUCAUCAGAAAAUUCAUUCUAGAGAGAAACUCCAUAAAUGCAAUGAAUGUGGGAAAGCUUUCAGAAAGAACUCUAUCCUUUUAAGUCAUCAGAGAAUUCAUACUGGUCAGAAACCCUACAAAUGUAAUAACUGUGGGAAAGGCUUUGCUCAGAAUGCAGCCCUUACUCGUCAUGAGUGAAUACAUAGUGGAGAGAAACCUUUUAAAUGUAAAGAAUGUGGGAAAGCUUUCAGGGAUAACUCAACUGUGUUGGAACAUCAGAAAAUCCAUACUGAUGAGAAACCAUAUCAGUGUAAUGAAUGUGGAAAAGCCUUUAGGAAGCUCUCAACUCUUAUUAGUCAUCAAAGAAUGCAUACAGGAGAGAAACCCUAUCACAGUAAAUGUGGAAAAUCUUUCAAGUAUAGGCUCAUCCUUUGCCAGACAUCAGAAAACUCAUAGUGGAAAUAAACUCUAUCAAUGUAAUGACUGUGGGAAAGCCUUUGUGAAGAGCUCAACCCUUAUUGGACAUCAGAGAAUUCCUACUGGAGAAAAACCCUGUCAUUGUAAGAAAUGUGGGAAAUCCUUCAAACAUAGCUGUGGCCUUGUUGAACAUCAGAGAAUCGAUACUGGAGAAAAACUUUAUGAAUGUAAUGAAUGUGGGAAAGCUUUUCCCUGGAGUUCAGCCCUUAAACAACAUAAGAAAAUUCAUAACAAAGAAAGAGCAAUCAAAUGUAGUUAGUGUGGUAAAUCAUGCAGAAAUAGUUUAUUCAUUUUGACCAUCAAAGAGGAGACAUUCAAUAAAUUACACAUUUAACAAAAGUAUUCUGUGCACCGCUAUCCUGAAGAACUUCUCACUUGUGAGAAGGUCAUUGUAGUAUGGUUUGUACUAGUGAAAUAUUUGAAGAACCUAAAUGUAUAUCAAUAUGGAAAUAGUUACUGUAGAAUCCUGUGUAGCAAAUGACAGAAUGAGGUAGAGCUCUAUAUAUGGCCAUAGAAAUAUCCUGAUGAUACCUUGUUAAGUUAAAAAAGCAAGUUGCAGAAAAUUUAUAUAUUGUGGUCUUAUUUAUAUUUUAAAGAAU